GUGCCAGCAGCCGCGGUAACACGUAGGGGACGAGCGUUGUCCGGAAUCAUUGGGCGUAAAGCGCGCGUAGGCGGCUCGGAAAGUCGGUCGUGAAAUCCUGGGGCUCAACCCCGGAACUGCGUCCGAUACUUCCGAGCUGGAGGCAGGUAGGGGAGAUCGGAAUUCCUGGUGUAGCGGUGAAAUGCGCAGAUAUCAGGAGGAACACCGGUGGCGAAGGCGGAUCUCUGGGCCUUGCCUGACGCUGAGGCGCGAAAGCUAGGGGAGCGAACAGGAUUAGAUACCCCAGUAGUCC
RNAcentral lists this ribosomal RNA (292 nucleotides) under uncultured bacterium. RNAcentral describes it as "partial 16S ribosomal RNA". It matches the Rfam family "Bacterial small subunit ribosomal RNA", at positions 505 to 796 of the family's 1533-position model. The record is from RNAcentral.